Molecule: ribosomal RNA, 174 nt
Filed under: Veronica vandewateri
Lineage: Eukaryota; Viridiplantae; Streptophyta; Magnoliopsida; Lamiales; Plantaginaceae
Description: 5.8S ribosomal RNA
Rfam family: 5.8S ribosomal RNA (bases 19-174)
About the family: 5.8S ribosomal RNA (5.8S rRNA) is a component of the large subunit of the eukaryotic ribosome. It is transcribed by RNA polymerase I as part of the 45S precursor that also contains 18S and 28S rRNA. Functionally, it is thought that 5.8S rRNA may be involved in ribosome translocation.
Source: RNAcentral
UCUCUAAAAUAUAUAAACGACUCUCGGCAACGGAUAUCUCGGCUCUCGCAUCGAUGAAGAACGUAGCGAAAUGCGAUACUUGGUGUGAAUUGCAGAAUCCCGUGAACCAUCGAGUCUUUGAACGCAAGUUGCGCCCGAAGCCUUCUGGCUGAGGGCACGCCUGCCUGGGCGUCA